AGAGUUUGAUCAUGGCUCAGAUUGAACGCUGGCGGCAGGCCUAACACAUGCAAGUCGAGCGGUAGCACAGAGAGCUUGCUCUCGGGUGACGAGCGGCGGACGGGUGAGUAAUGUCUGGGAAACUGCCUGAUGGAGGGGGAUAACUACUGGAAACGGUAGCUAAUACCGCAUAACGUCGCAAGACCAAAGUGGGGGACCUUCGGGCCUCAUGCCAUCAGAUGUGCCCAGAUGGGAUUAGCUAGUAGGUGGGGUAACGGCUCACCUAGGCGACGAUCCCUAGCUGGUCUGAGAGGAUGACCAGCCACACUGGAACUGAGACACGGUCCAGACUCCUACGGGAGGCAGCAGUGGGGAAUAUUGCACAAUGGGCGCAAGCCUGAUGCAGCCAUGCCGCGUGUGUGAAGAAGGCCUUCGGGUUGUAAAGCACUUUCAGCGGGGAGGAAGGCGAUAAGGUUAAUAACCUUGUCGAUUGACGUUACCCGCAGAAGAAGCACCGGCUAACUCCGUGCCAGCAGCCGCGGUAAUACGGAGGGUGCAAGCGUUAAUCGGAAUUACUGGGCGUAAAGCGCACGCAGGCGGUCUGUCAAGUCGGAUGUGAAAUCCCCGGGCUCAACCUGGGAACUGCAUUCGAAACUGGCAGGCUAGAGUCUUGUAGAGGGGGGUAGAAUUCCAGGUGUAGCGGUGAAAUGCGUAGAGAUCUGGAGGAAUACCGGUGGCGAAGGCGGCCCCCUGGACAAAGACUGACGCUCAGGUGCGAAAGCGUGGGGAGCAAACAGGAUUAGAUACCCUGGUAGUCCACGCCGUAAACGAUGUCGAUUUGGAGGUUGUGCCCUUGAGGCGUGGCUUCCGGAGCUAACGCGUUAAAUCGACCGCCUGGGGAGUACGGCCGCAAGGUUAAAACUCAAAUGAAUUGACGGGGGCCCGCACAAGCGGUGGAGCAUGUGGUUUAAUUCGAUGCAACGCGAAGAACCUUACCUGGUCUUGACAUCCACAGAACUUNUUGGUGCCUUCGGGAACUGUGAGACAGGUGCUGCAUGGCUGUCGUCAGCUCGUGUUGUGAAAUGUUGGGUUAAGUCCCGCAACGAGCGCAACCCUUAUCCUUUGUUGCCAGCGGUUAGGCCGGGAACUCAAAGGAGACUGCCAGUGAUAAACUGGAGGAAGGUGGGGAUGACGUCAAGUCAUCAUGGCCCUUACGACCAGGGCUACACACGUGCUACAAUGGCAUAUACAAAGAGAAGCGACCUCGCGAGAGCAAGCGGACCUCAUAAAGUAUGUCGUAGUCCGGAUUGGAGUCUGCAACUCGACUCCAUGAAGUCGGAAUCGCUAGUAAUCGUAGAUCAGAAUGCUACGGUGAAUACGUUCCCGGGCCUUGUACACACCGCCCGUCACACCAUGGGAGUGGGUUGCAAAAGAAGUAGGUAGCUUAACCUUCGGGAGGGCGCUUACCACUUUGUGAUUCAUGACUGGGGUGAAGUCGUAACAAGGUAACCGUAGGGGAACCUGCGGUUGGAUCACCU
This 1517-nucleotide ribosomal RNA is filed under the name Klebsiella quasipneumoniae. Its description in RNAcentral is "bacterial SSU rRNA". It matches the Rfam family "Bacterial small subunit ribosomal RNA". Lineage: Bacteria; Pseudomonadati; Pseudomonadota; Gammaproteobacteria; Enterobacterales; Enterobacteriaceae. The record is from RNAcentral.